UACAGAGGUGGCAAGCGUUGUUCGGAAUUACUGGGCGUAAAGGGCGCGUAGGCGGCCUUCUAAGUCAGACGUGAAAUCCCCCGGCUUAACCUGGGAACUGCGUCUGAUACUGGGAGGCUUGAGUAUGGGAGAGGGAUGUAGAAUUCCAGGUGUAGCGGUGAAAUGCGUAGAUAUCUGGAGGAAUACCGGUGGCGAAGGCGGCAUCCUGGACCAUAACUGACGCUGAGGCGCGAAAGCUAGGGGGGCAAACGGG
RNAcentral lists this ribosomal RNA (253 nucleotides) under uncultured bacterium. RNAcentral's name for it is "partial 16S ribosomal RNA". It matches the Rfam family "Bacterial small subunit ribosomal RNA", at positions 524 to 776 of the family's 1533-position model. The record is from RNAcentral.